Long non-coding RNA from Triticum aestivum (bread wheat), 618 nucleotides. RefSeq lists it as uncharacterized. The record is from RefSeq and is a predicted model, not a curated record. Lineage: Eukaryota; Viridiplantae; Streptophyta; Magnoliopsida; Poales; Poaceae. The transcript is spliced from 6 exons.
AGAAAGCUUAAGCACGGAAACGAGCAGUUAAUUCUAUUUGCCAGGGUUCUGCUGCUGAUGUUAUCAAGGUGGCUAUGCUUAACAGUCAUUCUGUAAUUACCAAUGGGAGUAACACACUUGAUUCUAUGGAUGGGCUAACGCAGAACUUUUAACAAAUCAGAGGGCGUUGUCACCUUCUUUUGCAGGUGCAUGAUGAAUUUGUGCUUGAAGUUGACCCGUCUAGGGUAGCAGAGGCUGUAAGGAAUCCCCGGGCCAUCGAGUGCGUGCCGUCAGUUUGACCCAGGACCGGCGCGGCAGAGGCGUUGUGUUCUUUCAGUGCAUAUUUGCUCCCUCUAGCGAGCACCACGGAGGAGGUGAGGGGCAAUUAGGGAGUAAAUAAAUGUGACAAUAUGGUUUAGAAAGCCCCAAAGCCGAGGCAGGAUGAGAAGGAAGCAGAGAGGCGAGAUGUGAUAUGAACCACCAAUCGCCCCUCCAGCGACUAGGCCUUCUCCCUCAUCCUCAGCCCCGUCGCUGCCGCUGACGCCUUCGGGAGUAGGGGAGGCAUCAGUGACGUUGCCAACAAGGCAGCGGUUGUGGUUGGGGUUUAGCACCAGGUUCCUCGCUGCUGCAUCUGCUGGG